ACACGACUACAUUAGAUACCCGCGUAGUCCUAGCCGUAAACGAUACUCGCUAGGUGUCGGCCACGGUGCGACCGUUGUCGGUGCCGUAGGGAAGCCGUGAAGCGAGCCACCUGGGAAGUACGGCCGCAAGGCUGAAACUUAAAGGAAUUGGCGGGGGAGCACCACAACGGGUGGAGCUUGCGGUUUAAUUGGAUUCAACGCCGGAAAUCUUACCGGGACCGACAGCAACAUGAAGGCCAGGCUGAAGACUUUUGCCGGAUUAGCUG
Molecule: ribosomal RNA, 266 nt
Filed under: uncultured archaeon
Lineage: Archaea
Description: partial 16S ribosomal RNA
Rfam family: Archaeal small subunit ribosomal RNA
Source: RNAcentral